GGAAUGUCCGGCGUGAGUUGCGUGGCCAACCGUCCGUGCGGCUAAGCCCAGGUGCAGCGGCUAAGGCGCCAUUGCCUGGCGUUGGCACGUUACCUGCUCGACUCCUGGAGGGGAGUUGUCGACAAAAGACGGAGAAGGGGUAACGUGACAGAGAAAGUCCGGCUUUCCGACGAAUGAACGAAAGAGAAGCAACUAAGUCACGAAAGGGGGAAGACCGGAGAAAGAAAGAGAGAGAGAGAGAGAGGCGAAUUACGCGGCGAGGGUACCAGCGCUCAGCGCAGCGUCUGCAUUGUGCCACCGGAGGCACGUUACGCGAGGAACUUGGCCGAUGAUAUAGACGGAGAGCGUGGUGGGAGAGAUGGCUGUUAUCUAAAUUACUCUAUUUUCUCGAGGGACCCUUGCAAUGGAUUUUUUUUUCGAUCGUCUGGAACGUCGAUAUCGAAUCAAGGUGGGUGUUCCGGCUGUUCCACAGACACGGCCUCUUUUUUUUCUUCCACGUUCAUCCUUUUUUCUUUUUCUCUUUCCUCCUUCCUUCUAUCCUUCUGUUCCUCUCUCUUGUUCUCCAUAUGAUGCACCUUCCUCCUCCGCCAACGUUGGGGAAAUAAGUGUCCGAUUCGGAGCAAGUCGGUGCACCAAACACGAGUCAUAUUUAAUUUCGAGAUACUCAUCUUUCCAUUAGGACAACGACACGCCUGAUGUGCACAAGGCAGAGGACGUUCUACGGUAGGACGUUCGUUUAGGUUUAUCGAAUCCGAAACGAAGCAAUAGAAUCGUUAGAAGCACACGGAAGGGACGUUGCCCGAAGCUAAAAAUACUUUCUCCGUUUAUUAUCGUAUCUAUAUAUCAUAUGCUACGUAGCACGAGUAUAUUGCACUAUUGUCGUUGUACAGCUGCACCGUAAAUAUUUAUUCGUCACGCUCAGGUUAAACCGGGCACAAUCUGCUUUUACAUUUUACGACAGGGAAUAAUCAUUAUCUACGCACGCCCAGGAGACGCAGAGGGAGUAAUAACGAUGAAAAUAAAGACCGGCGAUCGACGAAUAAAUUGUAAAAGGAAAAAGGAAGUGGAAGGUCUUUUACCUGACGAGUACGAUUUUCACGCGGAAGAUGGUUACCUUUUUAUUCGAACGACCGACAAACGAGUGGAUUCUUCUUAGAAAUAAAGUGCUCUGCAAAUCGGUCGAGUGAGACUAAGGGGUGGGUGGUGCGGUAACGUUAAUACGGCCAAGGAAAGAUAAAGUACUGACGGAUAUAACAGGUGGGAGCAAUAUGGUGGCGUCACUGAAUGGAGGGCGUACUCUCACGCGUUCGGCGUAGUAUUUGCUCAUUCACUCGUUCCUAUUUUAUUGUAGCGCCGUUUCGUUCACGGCCAACCCGCCACCACGUGGAUUAGGGACAUUGAAGAUUUGUGAGAACGAGAGAUACUCGAUAUCUGUCUGCUGCUGGCUGGCUGCUUUCCCUUUUCGUUCCUCCGUAUCACCUUCGAGCAAGCCUCUCGUAUACAAUUUCGUAUCGCGAUAUCGCGAUACGUUUCAGAGACGGAGAUCUACAUGCUUGCCGAAUUAGAGCGUGUAAUCAAAUAUCUAUAGAAGCCCGAACUAGGG
Molecule: long non-coding RNA, 1603 nt
Organism: Bombus pyrosoma
Lineage: Eukaryota; Metazoa; Arthropoda; Insecta; Hymenoptera; Apidae
Exons: 3
Source: RefSeq, a predicted model, not a curated record